This 76-nucleotide transfer RNA is filed under the name Lentinula edodes (shiitake mushroom). Its description in RNAcentral is "tRNA-Cys". It matches the Rfam family "tRNA". From Rfam's summary of the family: Transfer RNA (tRNA) molecules are approximately 80 nucleotides in length. The record is from RNAcentral. Lineage: Eukaryota; Fungi; Basidiomycota; Agaricomycetes; Agaricales; Omphalotaceae.
AGAGUUAAGUACAGAUGGUUUUCUGUAGUAGACCUGCAAAGUCUAACUUUUAGGGUUCAAUUCCUUCUUAACUCUA